Molecule: long non-coding RNA, 365 nt
Organism: Oncorhynchus nerka (sockeye salmon)
Lineage: Eukaryota; Metazoa; Chordata; Actinopteri; Salmoniformes; Salmonidae
Exons: 2
Source: RefSeq, a predicted model, not a curated record
CCCUUCACACGUGCAGACAAAGAGCGCCAACAACACAACCCAAAUAUGCACUUUUAAACUUUUCCAAACGAAACGGACGACUUCCACGAACAUAGGAAAUGCAACGGUGGGUUGAAACCUGUUUAAUUUGAAAAGCUUUUCUUUUUCGGGAGGCCUGAAUUGGGAAAAAGUACCUUGGAGCCGUACCUUCUACAACAGGAUUUUAGCUGCAGGACCUCUGAAUAACCAUCUACACUGUGGCGGAUUUACCCGCGACCUGUACCGGACUCAUGGAAUCGGAAUUGGAUUAUAUCUCCCGGCGCACAUCACAACAAAGGCUUUCCAAAUUGGAUAGGCGUCUCAUCGGACCCUCAAGGACAACAUGG